GGGUUGUGAGGUUAAGCGACUAAGCGUACACGGUGGAUGCCCUGGCAGUCAGAGGCGAUGAAGGACGUGCUAAUCUGCGAUAAGCGUCGGUAAGGUGAUAUGAACCGUUAUAACCGGCGAUUUCCGAAUGGGGAAACCCAGUGUGAUUCGUCACACUAUCAUUAACUGAAUCCAUAGGUUAAUGAGGCGAACCGGGGGAACUGAAACAUCUAAGUACCCCGAGGAAAAGAAAUCAACCGAGAUUCCCCCAGUAGCGGCGAGCGAACGGGGAGCAGCCCAGAGCCUGAAUCAGUGUGUGUGUUAGUGGAAGCGUCUGGAAAGGCGCGCGAUACAGGGUGACAGCCCCGUACACAAAAAUGCACAUGCUGUGAGCUCGAUGAGUAGGGCGGGACACGUGGUAUCCUGUCUGAAUAUGGGGGGACCAUCCUCCAAGGCUAAAUACUCCUGACUGACCGAUAGUGAACCAGUACCGUGAGGGAAAGGCGAAAAGAACCCCGGCGAGGGGAGUGAAAAAGAACCUGAAACCGUGUACGUACAAGCAGUGGGAGCCUCUUUAUGGGGUGACUGCGUACCUUUUGUAUAAUGGGUCAGCGACUUAUAUUCUGUAGCAAGGUUAACCGAAUAGGGGAGCCGAAGGGAAACCGAGUCUUAACUGGGCGUUAAGUUGCAGGGUAUAGACCCGAAACCCGGUGAUCUAGCCAUGGGCAGGUUGAAGGUUGGGUAACACUAACUGGAGGACCGAACCGACUAAUGUUGAAAAAUUAGCGGAUGACUUGUGGCUGGGGGUGAAAGGCCAAUCAAACCGGGAGAUAGCUGGUUCUCCCCGAAAGCUAUUUAGGUAGCGCCUCGUGAAUUCAUCUCCGGGGGUAGAGCACUGUUUCGGCAAGGGGGUCAUCCCGACUUACCAACCCGAUGCAAACUGCGAAUACCGGAGAAUGUUAUCACGGGAGACACACGGCGGGUGCUAACGUCCGUCGUGAAGAGGGAAACAACCCAGACCGCCAGCUAAGGUCCCAAAGUCAUGGUUAAGUGGGAAACGAUGUGGGAAGGCCCAGACAGCCAGGAUGUUGGCUUAGAAGCAGCCAUCAUUUAAAGAAAGCGUAAUAGCUCACUGGUCGAGUCGGCCUGCGCGGAAGAUGUAACGGGGCUAAACCAUGCACCGAAGCUGCGGCAGCGACACUAUGUGUUGUUGGGUAGGGGAGCGUUCUGUAAGCCUGCGAAGGUGUACUGUGAGGUAUGCUGGAGGUAUCAGAAGUGCGAAUGCUGACAUAAGUAACGAUAAAGCGGGUGAAAAGCCCGCUCGCCGGAAGACCAAGGGUUCCUGUCCAACGUUAAUCGGGGCAGGGUGAGUCGACCCCUAAGGCGAGGCCGAAAGGCGUAGUCGAUGGGAAACAGGUUAAUAUUCCUGUACUUGGUGUUACUGCGAAGGGGGGACGGAGAAGGCUAUGUUGGCCGGGCGACGGUUGUCCCGGUUUAAGCGUGUAGGCUGGUUUUCCAGGCAAAUCCGGAAAAUCAAGGCUGAGGCGUGAUGACGAGGCACUACGGUGCUGAAGCAACAAAUGCCCUGCUUCCAGGAAAAGCCUCUAAGCAUCAGGUAACAUCAAAUCGUACCCCAAACCGACACAGGUGGUCAGGUAGAGAAUACCAAGGCGCUUGAGAGAACUCGGGUGAAGGAACUAGGCAAAAUGGUGCCGUAACUUCGGGAGAAGGCACGCUGAUACGUAGGUGAAGUCCCUUGCGGAUGGAGCUGAAAUCAGUCGAAGAUACCAGCUGGCUGCAACUGUUUAUUAAAAACACAGCACUGUGCAAACACGAAAGUGGACGUAUACGGUGUGACGCCUGCCCGGUGCCGGAAGGUUAAUUGAUGGGGUUAGCGGUAACGCGAAGCUCUUGAUCGAAGCCCCGGUAAACGGCGGCCGUAACUAUAACGGUCCUAAGGUAGCGAAAUUCCUUGUCGGGUAAGUUCCGACCUGCACGAAUGGCGUAAUGAUGGCCAGGCUGUCUCCACCCGAGACUCAGUGAAAUUGAACUCGCUGUGAAGAUGCAGUGUACCCGCGGCAAGACGGAAAGACCCCGUGAACCUUUACUAUAGCUUGACACUGAACAUUGAGCCUUGAUGUGUAGGAUAGGUGGGAGGCUUUGAAGUGUGGACGCCAGUCUGCAUGGAGCCGACCUUGAAAUACCACCCUUUAAUGUUUGAUGUUCUAACGUUGGCCCCUAAUCGGGGUUGCGGACAGUGUCUGGUGGGUAGUUUGACUGGGGCGGUCUCCUCCUAAAGAGUAACGGAGGAGCACGAAGGUUGGCUAAUCCUGGUCGGACAUCAGGAGGUUAGUGCAAUGGCAUAAGCCAGCUUGACUGCGAGCGUGACGGCGCGAGCAGGUGCGAAAGCAGGUCAUAGUGAUCCGGUGGUUCUGAAUGGAAGGGCCAUCGCUCAACGGAUAAAAGGUACUCCGGGGAUAACAGGCUGAUACCGCCCAAGAGUUCAUAUCGACGGCGGUGUUUGGCACCUCGAUGUCGGCUCAUCACAUCCUGGGGCUGAAGUAGGUCCCAAGGGUAUGGCUGUUCGCCAUUUAAAGUGGUACGCGAGCUGGGUUUAGAACGUCGUGAGACAGUUCGGUCCCUAUCUGCCGUGGGCGCUGGAGAACUGAGGGGGGCUGCUCCUAGUACGAGAGGACCGGAGUGGACGCAUCACUGGUGUUCGGGUUGUCAUGCCAAUGGCACUGCCCGGUAGCUAAAUGCGGAAGAGAUAAGUGCUGAAAGCAUCUAAGCACGAAACUUGCCCCGAGAUGAGUUCUCCCUGACUCCUUGAGAGUCCUGAAGGAACGUUGAAGACGACGACGUUGAUAGGCCGGGUGUGUAAGCGCAGCGAUGCGUUGAGCUAACCGGUACUAAUGAACCGUGAGGCUUAACCUUACAACGCCGAAGCUGUU
This 2930-nucleotide ribosomal RNA is filed under the name Escherichia coli. RNAcentral's name for it is "23S ribosomal RNA". It matches the Rfam family "Bacterial large subunit ribosomal RNA". Lineage: Bacteria; Pseudomonadati; Pseudomonadota; Gammaproteobacteria; Enterobacterales; Enterobacteriaceae. The record is from RNAcentral.